RNAcentral lists this ribosomal RNA (468 nucleotides) under uncultured bacterium. Its description in RNAcentral is "partial 16S ribosomal RNA". It matches the Rfam family "Bacterial small subunit ribosomal RNA", at positions 28 to 507 of the family's 1533-position model. The record is from RNAcentral.
GAUGAACGCUGGCGGCGUGCUUAACACAUGCAAGUCGAACGGUGAAGGCGGAGCUUGCUCUGCUGGAUCAGUGGCGAACGGGUGAGUAACACGUGAGCAAUCUGCCCCUGACUCUGGGAUAAGCGCUGGAAACGGCGUCUAAUACUGGAUACGAGCUGCGAAGGCAUCUUCAGCAGCUGGAAAGAAUUUCGGUCAGGGAUGAGCUCGCGGCCUAUCAGCUUGUUGGUGAGGUAAUGGCUCACCAAGGCGUCGACGGGUAGCCUGCCUGAGAGGGUGACCGGCCACACUGGGACUGAGACACGGCCCAGACUCCUACGGGAGGCAGCAGUGGGGAAUAUUGCACAAUGGGCGAAAGCCUGAUGCAGCAACGCCGCGUGAGGGACGACGGCCUUCGGGUUGUAAACCUCUUUUAGCAGGGAAGAAGCGAAAGUGACGGUACCUGCAGAAAAAGCGCCGGCUAACUACGUG